CCCAAGGCAGUUCAACUCAGUGCCAAGUCCAAGGACAUCAAAACAGUUUCCAGGUCUUUAAGAAUGGAGGUGCCAUAAGGAUUCCAUCUGUGCUCUGCAGACUUGCCCUCCCAAACCUCCCUAACAGUAGAAGAAAGUGAGAAAGAACUUGACCUAUACAGAUGCCCUCUCCAUCCUCUACCUGGGAGUGGGGGGCAAUACCCACCACAGUGAUCACAAAAUGGAAAAUGCUUUGAAGUCUUAUAUUUGAGGCUAAAAAUUAAUGAGAGUUGUAUCCUACUGCAUACUAUUCUGUCUUUAAUGUAAAAGAGCUUAAAAUGAUUCCCAACUGGAGAACAACAAAAGAUUUUCUGCCUAACUCAUGGGUUCAUGAGGGAGCUGCUUGAUAAAAACAAUAGCUGAUACUUAAUACUUCCUCUAAACUAGGUCUUCAGAAACAAAGAAAGUCUGAGAAAUUGCCAUAAUCCAGAGGAGCCCAAGAAGACAUGAUGACUAAAUGUAAUGAAGUAUUCUGAAGGAGAUCCUGAAAUAGAAAAAGAUGCCUGUUGAAGUAUUAAGAUAUGUACAUGUAAACCAGAAAGAUGCACAUUAAAUUCAUAACAAUGGUGGCCUCUGGUUAGGAAGGCAGGGGACAGGAGGAGAUGGAGUACAAAGGACCUUGAACUUUAUCCGCAACAAAGAACUUAAAGAAAAACAAACUGAAGUAAAUCCAACAAAGUAGUAGCAUCUGUUGAUUCUGGACACUCCCAGGCCACGCAUUAAGAAGGAAAUCUGUAGCCACUUUGUUAAAAUUGGUACAAACAGAACAUCUCACAUUUCGAAACUGUCACUCCACUGAGAGUCAUUCACAUAAACAACGAGGUCCUCAUGGGUUUGAUGGCAACACAAACACCACUUGUGACUCAAUUAAGGAAGCGGUAAUUAAAAAGGGGGAACAGCGUGCAAUCUCUCCAAUGUAUCUUCCCUCUGAGGCCUGGGACGCUGACAGGUAGGAUCUGGGGAACUUCUGGGGGGUCUUCCCUGGGGCCUGCUCCUGCCCUGGACAGAGGUUUCCCAAGGUGAAGUAGGAAGGGAGAAAAGAUAGGGACAUAUAGCCCUGGACCUUGGCUAGUGAUCCAUCUCUUCCACCAGGAAGUUGUGUAAGUUAACAAAGAUUUUCAUAAAAUAACAAAGUGUGCCAAGGAGAUAAAACGUUGUCCCCUGGAGAUUAGUCACAAUUUCUUGGCUCUCAAAUGAUGACAGCCAAUGUCUUUUAUUUUUACUAUGUUCCAGGCACUGUUGUGAGAUGUUUAUAGCCAUUGAAUCAUAAUAACCCCAUGAGACAGCAACCACGGGUAGCUCUGUUUUUCCAGAUAAGGAAACUGAGGCCCAGACCCACAGUCUUGCAGCUAAGAGACGAAGCUAGAAGUUAAACUUGGGGAGUGCGCUCUAACCAAUUGCCUCUCACUUUCUGAAAUCCCCUUUCCCAGCCUGGGCCCUCCUAGUAAGCUUUUCCAUUUGUUAAACACCUACUCUGUUCUAGGAAU
Nycticebus coucang (slow loris) is the source of this 1526-nucleotide long non-coding RNA. RefSeq lists it as uncharacterized. The transcript has 5 exons. NCBI's taxonomy places the organism in Eukaryota, Metazoa, Chordata, Mammalia, Primates, Lorisidae. The record is from RefSeq and is a predicted model, not a curated record.